GACGAACGCUGGCGGCGUGCCUAAUACAUGCAAGUCGAGCGGAACUGGGGGAGCUUGCUCCUUCCAGUUUAGCGGCGGACGGGUGAGUAACACGUGGGCAACCUGCCCCGCAGAUCGGGAUAACUCCGGGAAACCGGUGCUAAUACCGAAUAGUUUGGCGCCUCUCCUGAGGCGCUACGGAAAGACGGUUUCGGCUGUCACUGCAGGAUGGGCCCGCGGCGCAUUAGCUAGUUGGGGGGGUAACGGCCCACCAAGGCGACGAUGCGUAGCCGACCUGAGAGGGUGACCGGCCACACUGGGACUGAGACACGGCCCAGACUCCUACGGGAGGCAGCAGUAGGGAAUCUUCCGCAAUGGACGCAAGUCUGACGGAGCAACGCCGCGUGAGUGACGAAGGUUUUCGGAUCGUAAAACUCUGUUGUGAGGGAAGAACACGUACCAACUAACUAUUGGUACCCUGACGGUACCUCACCAGAAAGCCACGGCUAACUACGUGCCAGCCGCCGCCGUAA
Molecule: ribosomal RNA, 512 nt
Filed under: uncultured bacterium
Lineage: Bacteria
Description: partial 16S ribosomal RNA
Rfam family: Bacterial small subunit ribosomal RNA
Source: RNAcentral